This is a non-coding RNA of Acanthosepion pharaonis, 112 nucleotides long. The record is from the annotation of a GenBank genome assembly. Lineage: Eukaryota; Metazoa; Mollusca; Cephalopoda; Sepiida; Sepiidae.
UACGGCCAUACCACGUCGAAACAUAGAUUCUCUUCUGAUCACUGAAGUUAAGCAACGUCGAGACUGGUCAUUACCUAGAUGGGUGGUCGCUUGGGAAUACCAGGAGCUGUGA